GGUUAAGUGACUAAGCGUACACGGUGGAUGCCUGGGCAGUCAGAGGCGAUGAAGGACGUACUAACUUGCGAUAAGCGCAGAUAAGGCAGUAAGAGCCGUUUGAGUCUGCGAUUUCCGAAUGGGGAAACCCAACUGCAUAAGCAGUUACUGUUAACUGAAUACAUAGGUUAACAGAGCAAACCGGGGGAACUGAAACAUCUAAGUACCCCGAGGAGAAGAAAUCAACCGAGAUUCCGGUAGUAGCGGCGAGCGAACCUGGAUUAGCCCUUAAGCACUCGGUGAAGUAGGUGAACAAGCUGGAAAGCUUGGCGAUACAGGGUGAUAGCCCCGUAACCGACGCUUCAUCGAGCG
This 351-nucleotide ribosomal RNA is filed under the name Vibrio cholerae. RNAcentral describes it as "partial 23S ribosomal RNA". It matches the Rfam family "Bacterial large subunit ribosomal RNA", at positions 1 to 396 of the family's 2925-position model. The record is from RNAcentral. Lineage: Bacteria; Pseudomonadati; Pseudomonadota; Gammaproteobacteria; Vibrionales; Vibrionaceae. RNAcentral also lists the same sequence under 1 other name.